Molecule: ribosomal RNA, 253 nt
Filed under: uncultured bacterium
Lineage: Bacteria
Description: partial 16S ribosomal RNA
Rfam family: Bacterial small subunit ribosomal RNA
Source: RNAcentral
UACGGAGGAUCCAAGCGUUAUCCGGAUUCACUGGGUUUAAAGGGUGUGUAGGCGGGGUAUUAAGUCAGUGGUGAAAUCCUACAGCUUAACUGUAGAACUGCCAUUGAAACUGAUACUCUUGAAUGUAGUUGAGGUAGGCGGAAUGUGUAGUGUAGCGGUGAAAUGCUUAGAUAUUACACAGAACACCGAUUGCGAAGGCAGCUUGCUAAACUAUGAUUGACGCUGAGACACGAAAGCGUGGGGAUCAAACAGG